This 1441-nucleotide ribosomal RNA is filed under the name metagenome. Its description in RNAcentral is "bacterial SSU rRNA". It matches the Rfam family "Bacterial small subunit ribosomal RNA". The record is from RNAcentral.
UGCAAGUCGAACCGUAGUAGAGUGCUUGCACUCUAUGAGAGUGGCGAACGGGUGAGUAACACGUGGAUGAUCUACCCUUGAGUUGGGGAUAGCCCAUGGAACUCGGGCUAAUACCGCAUACGUCCUAUGGGAGAAAGGGGGCCUUCGCGGCGCUGCUCGAGGAUGAGUCUGCGGCUGAUUAGUUAGUUGGUGGGGUAAUGGCCUACCAAGGCAGCGAUCAGUAGCCGGCCUGAGAGGGUGAACGGCCACACUGGGACUGAGAUACGGCCCAGACUCCUACGGGAGGCAGCAGCUAAGAAUCUUCUGCAAUGGACGAAAGUCUGACAGAGCGACGCCGCGUGGGUGAAGAAGGCCGGAAGGUUGUAAAGCCCUUUUCUAUCUGAGGAAUAACCAUGGGAGGCAAUGCCCGUGGGAUGACGGUAAGGUAGGAAUAAGCCCCGGCCAAUUACGUGCCAGCAGCCGCGGUAACACGUAUGGGGCGAGCGUUGUUCGGAAUCAUUGGGCGUAAAGGGCGCGCAGGCGGACAUACAAGCUUGGUGUGAAAGACCGCAGCUCAACUGCGGGAACGCGCUGGGAACUGUAUGACUAGAGUUCAAGAGGGGAAGCUGGAAUUCCUGGUGUAGGGGUGAAAUCUGUAGAUAUCAGGAAGAACAUCAGUGGCGAAGGCGAGCUUCUGGCUAUGAACUGACGCGGAGGCGCGAAAGCGUGGGGAGCGAACAGGAUUAGAUACCCUGGUAGUCCACGCUGUAAACGAUGUGCACUAGGUGUUGGGUCGAUGAAGACCCAGUGCCGUAGCUAACGCGUUAAGUGCACCGCCUGGGGAGUAUGCUCGCAAGGGUGAAACUCAAAGGAAUUGACGGGGGCCCGCACAAGCGGUGGAGCAUGUGGUUUAAUUCGACGAUACGCGAGAAACCUUACCAGGGCUUGACAUAUACGGUAAGUCGUGAGAGAUCACGGUGCCCUUCGGGGAUCGUAUACAGGUGCUGAAUGGCUGUCGUCAGCUCGUGCCGUGAGGUGUUGGGUUAAGUCCCGCAACGAGCGCAACCCUUGCCAUCUGUUGCCAGCAUUUCGGAUGGGGACUCAGAUGGAACUGCCGGUGACAAACCGGAGGAAGGUGGGGACGACGUCAAGUCAUCAUGGCCCUUAUGUCCUGGGCUACACACGUGCUACAAUGGCCAGUACAGAGCGACGCGAAACCGCGAGGUGGAGCAAAUCGCAGAAGCUGGUCUCAGUUCGGAUUGGAGUCUGAAACACGACUCCAUGAAGGUGGAAUCGCUAGUAAUCGCGCAUCAGCAUGGCGCGGUGAAUACGUUCCCGGGCCUUGUACACACCGCCCGUCACACCACCCGAGUUGGGGGUACCCGAAGUCACUAGUCUAACCUGCAAAGGAGGACGGUGCCGAAGGUAUGCCUGGUAAGGGGGGUGAAGUCGUAACAAGGUA